Molecule: signal recognition particle RNA, 267 nt
Filed under: Gracilibacillus orientalis
Lineage: Bacteria; Bacillati; Bacillota; Bacilli; Caryophanales; Bacillaceae
Description: Bacterial large signal recognition particle RNA
Rfam family: Bacterial large signal recognition particle RNA
About the family: The signal recognition particle (SRP) is a universally conserved ribonucleoprotein involved in the co-translational targeting of proteins to membranes. Archaeal SRP consists of a 7S RNA and homologues of the eukaryotic SRP19 and SRP54 proteins.
Source: RNAcentral
CCGUGCUAGGUGGGGAGGUAGCGGUGCCCUGUACUCGCAAUCCGCUAUAGCGAGGCUGAAUUACCUUGCUGAGGUGCCAUUACUUUAGGGUCUGCCUUAAGGGAGUAGUGUUGACACUCGGGUCCUGCGCAACAGGAACUCGUGAACCAUGUCAGGUCCGGAAGGAAGCAGCAUUAAGCGAAUUCUCCUGUGUGCCGCAGGGAAGCCUGGGUCGAGCUAUCAACUUGAGUAACGCUUUAGGUAAUGUCAUCGAAGCUUGGUGCACGG